GGCCGUGUGGCCCAAUGGCAAGGCGCUUGACUACGAGGAGUAAAUCAAGAGAUUCCAGGUGUGUAUCCUCAAUUCUGAUGUUACAAGACAAUCUUACUAACGAUUCAUCAAAGGUUCGACCCCUGGCACGGUCA
Paraphaeosphaeria sporulosa is the source of this 134-nucleotide transfer RNA. It matches the Rfam family "tRNA". Rfam says of the family: Transfer RNA (tRNA) molecules are approximately 80 nucleotides in length. Their secondary structure includes four short double-helical elements and three loops (D, anti-codon, and T loops). NCBI's taxonomy places the organism in Eukaryota, Fungi, Ascomycota, Dothideomycetes, Pleosporales, Didymosphaeriaceae. The record is from Rfam.